This 588-nucleotide ribosomal RNA is filed under the name ectomycorrhizal fungal sp. OEB.2-IYA46-7. RNAcentral describes it as "eukaryotic LSU rRNA". The stretch from base 198 to 352 matches the Rfam family "5.8S ribosomal RNA". RNAcentral also lists the same sequence under 1 other name. The record is from RNAcentral. Lineage: Eukaryota; Fungi.
AAGGAUCAUUAUCGAAUCGUAGGCGAGGGUUGUCGCUGGCCUCUCGGGGCAUGUGCACGCCCGAGCCCUUGAAUCCCAAACACACAUGUGAACCCACCGUAGGCCUUCGGGCCUAUGUCUUAUCAUUAUAAUCCGAANGUCUAAUAGAAUGUAAACCCAUUUCGUUGCCUUGAAAACGUAACGAAAGAAAACUAUACAACUUUCAACAACGGAUCUCUUGGCUCUCGCAUCGAUGAAGAACGCAGCGAAAUGCGAUAAGUAAUGUGAAUUGCAGAUUUUCAGUGAAUCAUCGAAUCUUUGAACGCACCUUGCGCCCCUUGGUAUUCCGAGGGGCAUGCCUGUUUGAGUGUCAUUAAAUCCUCAACCCCUCCGAUUCGUUUCGGUGGGGAUUGGACUUGGAGCGUGCUGGCGAAGGUCGGCUCCUCUUUAAAUGCAUCAGCGGAGAAAAUGCCUUUUGCGCCUCUGGCCGUUCAGCGUGAUAAUGACGUUGCGCUGCGGUCGAGCUUAAGGUCCGCUUCCAAAGGUCCUCGGACGAAUAUACAUAUGACUUUUGACCUCAAAUCAGGUAGGACUACCCGCUGAACUUAA